UACGGAGGGUGCGAGCGUUAAUCGGAAUUUCUGGGCGUAAAGGGUGCGUAGGUGGUUAAUUAAGUUAGUUGUGAAAUUCCUGGGCUUAACCUGGGCACUGCAACUAAGACUGAUAGACUCGAGUAUGGGAGAGGGUAGUGGAAUUUCCGGUGUAGCGGUGAAAUGCGUAGAUAUCGGAAGGAACACCAGUGGCGAAGGCGGCUACCUGGCCCAAUACUGACACUGAGGCACGAAAGCGUGGGGAGCAAACAGG
This 253-nucleotide ribosomal RNA is filed under the name uncultured bacterium. Its description in RNAcentral is "partial 16S ribosomal RNA". It matches the Rfam family "Bacterial small subunit ribosomal RNA", at positions 524 to 776 of the family's 1533-position model. The record is from RNAcentral.